GACGAACCACACAAACGUUAUUCGGAAUUACUGGGCUUAAAGGGUGCGUAGGCUGUGCGGAAAGUUAGGUGUGAAAUCCCCCGGCUCAACCGGGGAAUUGCGCCUAAUACUACCGUGCUGGAGGAAGAUAGAGGUGAGCGGAACUUCGGGUGGAGCGGUGAAAUGCGUUGAUAUCCGAAGGAACACCGGUGGCGAAAGCGGCUCACUGGAUCUUUUCUGACGCUGAUGCACGAAAGCUAGGGGAGCAAACGGG
RNAcentral lists this unclassified non-coding RNA (253 nucleotides) under uncultured Pirellulaceae bacterium. Its description in RNAcentral is "contains 16S-23S intergenic spacer region". It matches the Rfam family "Bacterial small subunit ribosomal RNA", at positions 524 to 776 of the family's 1533-position model. Lineage: Bacteria; Pseudomonadati; Planctomycetota; Planctomycetia; Pirellulales; Pirellulaceae. The record is from RNAcentral.